AGGGAACCUGCGGAAGGAUCAUUGU
This 25-nucleotide ribosomal RNA is filed under the name Phoradendron ensifolium. RNAcentral describes it as "partial 18S ribosomal RNA". Lineage: Eukaryota; Viridiplantae; Streptophyta; Magnoliopsida; Santalales; Viscaceae. The record is from RNAcentral.